RNAcentral lists this ribosomal RNA (2908 nucleotides) under Escherichia coli DEC9E. RNAcentral describes it as "bacterial LSU rRNA". It matches the Rfam family "Bacterial large subunit ribosomal RNA". The record is from RNAcentral. Lineage: Bacteria; Pseudomonadati; Pseudomonadota; Gammaproteobacteria; Enterobacterales; Enterobacteriaceae.
UUAAGCGACUAAGCGUACACGGUGGAUGCCCUGGCAGUCAGAGGCGAUGAAGGACGUGCUAAUCUGCGAUAAGCGUCGGUAAGGUGAUAUGAACCGUUAUAACCGGCGAUUUCCGAAUGGGGAAACCCAGUGUGUUUCGACACACUAUCAUUAACUGAAUCCAUAGGUUAAUGAGGCGAACCGGGGGAACUGAAACAUCUAAGUACCCCGAGGAAAAAGAAAUCAAACCGAGAUUCCCCCAGUAGCGGCGAGCGAACGGGGAGCAGCCCAGAGCCUGAAUCAGUAUGUGUGUUAGUGGAAGCGUCUGGAAAGGCGCGCGAUACAGGGUGACAGCCCCGUACACAAAAAUAGCACAUGCUGUGAGCUCGAUGAGUAGGGCGGGACACGUGGUAUCCUGUCUGAAUAUGGGGGGACCAUCCUCCAAGGCUAAAUACUCCUGACUGACCGAUAGUGAACCAGUACCGUGAGGGAAAGGCGAAAAGAACCCCGGCGAGGGGAGUGAAAAAGAACCUGAAACCGUGUACGUACAAGCAGUGGGAGCACGAGCAAUCUGUGUGACUGCGUACCUUUUGUAUAAUGGGUCAGCGACUUAUAUUCUGUAGCAAGGUUAACCGAAUAGGGGAGCCGAAGGGAAACCGAGUCUUAACUGGGCGUUAAGUUGCAGGGUAUAGACCCGAAACCCGGUGAUCUAGCCAUGGGCAGGUUGAAGGUUGGGUAACACUAACUGGAGGACCGAACCGACUAAUGUUGAAAAAUUAGCGGAUGACUUGUGGCUGGGGGGUGAAAGGCCAAUCAAACCGGGAGAUAGCUGGUUCUCCCCGAAAGCUAUUUAGGUAGCGCCUCGUGAAUUCAUCUCCGGAGGUAGAGCACUGUUUCGGCAAGGGGGUCAUCCCGACUUACCAACCCGAUGCAAACUGCGAAUACCGGAGAAUGUUAUCACGGGAGACACACGGCGGGUGCUAACGUCCGUCGUGAAGAGGGAAACAACCCAGACCGCCAGCUAAGGUCCCAAAGUCAUGGUUAAGUGGGAAACGAUGUGGGAAGGCCCAGACAGCCAGGAUGUUGGCUUAGAAGCAGCCAUCAUUUAAGAAAGCGUAAUAGCUCACUGGUCGAGUCGGCCUGCGCGGAAGAUGUAACGGGGCUAAACCAUGCACCGAAGCUGCGGCAGCGACGCUUAUGCGUUGUUGGGUAGGGGAGCGUUCUGUAAGCCUGCGAAGGUGUGCUGUGAGGCAUGCUGGAGGUAUCAGAAGUGCGAAUGCUGACAUAAGUAACGAUAAAGCGGGUGAAAAGCCCGCUCGCCGGAAGACCAAGGGUUCCUGUCCAACGUUAAUCGGGGCAGGGUGAGUCGCCCCCUAAGGCGAGGCCGAAAGGCGUAGUCGAUGGGAAACAGGUUAAUAUUCCUGUACUUGGUGUUACUGCGGAGGGGGGACGGAGAAGGCUAUGUUGGCCGGGCGACGGUUGUCCCGGUUUAAGCGUGUAGGCUGGUUUUCCAGGCAAAUCCGGAAAAUCAAGGCUGAGGCGUGAUGACGAGGCACUACGGUGCUGAAGCAACAAAUGCCCUGCUUCCAGGAAAAGCCUCUAAGCAUCAGGUAACAUCAAAUCGUACCCCAAACCGACACAGGUGGUCAGGUAGAGAAUACCAAGGCGCUUGAGAGAACUCGGGUGAAGGAACUAGGCAAAAAUGGUGCCGUAACUUCGGGAGAAGGCACGCUGAUAUGUAGGUGAAGUCCCUCGCGGAUGGAGCUGAAAUCAGUCGAAGAUACCAGCUGGCUGCAACUGUUUAUUAAAAACACAGCACUGUGCAAACACGAAAGUGGACGUAUACGGUGUGACGCCUGCCCGGUGCCGGAAGGUUAAUUGAUGGGGUCAGCGCAAGCGAAGCUCUUGAUCGAAGCCCCGGUUAAACGGCGGCCGUAACUAUAACGGUCCUAAGGUAGCGAAAUUCCUUGUCGGGUAAGUUCCGACCUGCACGAAUGGCGUAAUGAUGGCCAGGCUGUCUCCACCCGAGACUCAGUGAAAUUGAACUCGCUGUGAAGAUGCAGUGUACCCGCGGCAAGACGGAAAGACCCCGUGAACCUUUACUAUAGCUUGACACUGAACAUUGAGCCUUGAUGUGUAGGAUAGGUGGGAGGCUUUGAAGUGUGGACGCCAGUCUGCAUGGAGCCGACCUUGAAAUACCACCCUUUAAUGUUUGAUGUUCUAACGUUGACCCGUAAUCCGGGUUGCGGACAGUGUCUGGUGGGUAGUUUGACUGGGGCGGUCUCCUCCUAAAGAGUAACGGAGGAGCACGAAGGUUGGCUAAUCCUGGUCGGACAUCAGGAGGUUAGUGCAAUGGCAUAAGCCAGCUUGACUGCGAGCGUGACGGCGCGAGCAGGUGCGAAAGCAGGUCAUAGUGAUCCGGUGGUUCUGAAUGGAAGGGCCAUCGCUCAACGGAUAAAAGGUACUCCGGGGAUAACAGGCUGAUACCGCCCAAGAGUUCAUAUCGACGGCGGUGUUUGGCACCUCGAUGUCGGCUCAUCACAUCCUGGGGCUGAAGUAGGUCCCAAGGGUAUGGCUGUUCGCCAUUUAAAGUGGUACGCGAGCUGGGUUUAGAACGUCGUGAGACAGUUCGGUCCCUAUCUGCCGUGGGCGCUGGAGAACUGAGGGGGGCUGCUCCUAGUACGAGAGGACCGGAGUGGACGCAUCACUGGUGUUCGGGUUGUCAUGCCAAUGGCACUGCCCGGUAGCUAAAUGCGGAAGAGAUAAGUGCUGAAAGCAUCUAGGCACGAAACUUGCCCCGAGAUGAGUUCUCCCUGACUCCUUGAGAGUCCUGAAGGAACGUUGAAGACGACGACGUUGAUAGGCCGGGUGUGUAAGCGCAGCGAUGCGUUGAGCUAACCGGUACUAAUGAACCGUGAGGCUUAACCUU